This 465-nucleotide ribosomal RNA is filed under the name Vreelandella stevensii. RNAcentral describes it as "partial 16S ribosomal RNA". It matches the Rfam family "Bacterial small subunit ribosomal RNA", at positions 338 to 795 of the family's 1533-position model. The record is from RNAcentral. Lineage: Bacteria; Pseudomonadati; Pseudomonadota; Gammaproteobacteria; Oceanospirillales; Halomonadaceae.
CCUACGGGUGGCUGCAGUGGGGAAUAUUGGACAAUGGGGGGAACCCUGAUCCAGCCAUGCCGCGUGUGUGAAGAAGGCCCUCGGGUUGUAAAGCACUUUCAGUGAGGAAGAACGCCUGGUGGUUAAUACCCAUCAGGAAAGACAUCACUCACAGAAGAAGCACCGGCUAACUCCGUGCCAGCAGCCGCGGUAAUACGGAGGGUGCGAGCGUUAAUCGGAAUUACUGGGCGUAAAGCGCGCGUAGGUGGAUUGAUAAGCCGGUUGUGAAAGCCCCGGGCUCAACCUGGGAACGGCAUCCGGAACUGUCAAGCUAGAGUGCAGGAGAGGAAGGUAGAAUUCCCGGUGUAGCGGUGAAAUGCGUAGAGAUCGGGAGGAAUACCAGUGGCGAAGGCGGCCUUCUGGACUGACACUGACACUGAGGUGCGAAAGCGUGGGUAGCAAACAGGAUUAGAUACCCCAGUAGGC